AUGUCCGCAUGGAGGGCCCUGUACGCAGAGCCUCAACAUGAGUGCAAUACGUACGGCUACUGCGGUCCUUAUGGUUACUGCGACAACACACAAAUCGUCCCGGUUUGCAAGUGCCUUGACGGUUUUGAACCGAGGGAUGCUAAAGGAUGGAUCUCCGGUAGCUUCUCACAGGGAUGCCGCCCCAAGGAGGUGCCAAGGUGCACCCAUGGAGACAGUUUCUUGGCCUUUCCGGGCAUGAAGGUCCCGGACAAGUUCCUUCGUGUCCCGAGCAGAAGCUUUGAUGAGUGCACCGAGGAAUGCAGAAGCAAUUGCUCCUGCGUGGCAUAUGCUUACUCCAAGAUGAGCAACAUAGAUAUUGACGGGGAUGACACAAGAUGCCUGUUAUGGAUAGGCGAUUUUAUCGACAUGGAGAACAACCAUCAAGGAGGGGAGAACCUCUAUGUUCGGACUAAAAGAUUGCAAGGUAACAUGAGAAAGAUCAAAACCAUAGAAAUUGUAUUACCAGUUGUGUCAAGUUUUCUGAUACUCAUAUGCGUGGGGCUUCUUUGGAUCUGUGGCUUUAGAGGCAAUCAAGGAAGCAAGCUUGUCUGGGAAAGGUUGAUGCGUCGAGAUACAGGAAAUUACAAUCAGUUCGCUGAUGGUAACACGGAGUUUCCCAUUUUGAACUUUAGGGAAAUUGCUACCGCGACAAAUAAUUUCUCUGAAUCCAACAUCCUUGGCAAAGGAGGGUUUGGCAAUGUUUAUAAGGGAACGUUGGAAGAUGGUAAGGAAAUUGCUGUGAAAAGGCUUCGUGUAGGUUCUGUCCAAGGGGCAGUGGAGUUCAAAAAUGAAAUAGCUCUAAUUUCCAGGUUGCAUCAUAGAAACUUGGUCAAACUUAUAGGCUGCAGUAUUCAUGAAGACGAAAAGCUUUUGAUUUAUGAAUACCUACCUAACCGAAGUCUGGAUUACUUCAUUUUCAAUGAUAGAAGAAAAUCACUGCUCAAUUGGCCCACAAGAUUUAAGAUAAUCGCUGGUGUAGCCAGGGGACUUCUUUAUCUCCACUAA
RNAcentral lists this ribosomal RNA (1044 nucleotides) under Triticum aestivum (bread wheat). RNAcentral describes it as "partial small subunit ribosomal RNA". Lineage: Eukaryota; Viridiplantae; Streptophyta; Magnoliopsida; Poales; Poaceae. The record is from RNAcentral.